UACAGAGGGGGCAAGCGUUGUUCGGAAUUACUGGGCGUAAAGGGCGUGUAGGCGGUCAGGUAAGUGGAAUGUGAAAGCCCUCGGCUCACCCGAGGAUCGGCAUCCCAAACUGCCUGGCUUGAGUAUGGGAGAGGACAGGGGAAUUCCUGGUGUAGCGGUGAAAUGCGUAGAUAUCAGGAGGAACACCGGUGGCGAAAGCGCCUGUCUGGCCCAAUACUGACGCUGAUGCGCGAAAGCUAGGGGAGCAAACGGG
RNAcentral lists this ribosomal RNA (253 nucleotides) under uncultured bacterium. RNAcentral describes it as "partial 16S ribosomal RNA". It matches the Rfam family "Bacterial small subunit ribosomal RNA", at positions 524 to 776 of the family's 1533-position model. The record is from RNAcentral.